GCGCCCGUAGCUCAGCUGGAUAGAGUGCUUCCCUCCGAAGGAAGAAGUCACAGGUUCGAAUCCUGUCGGGCGCACCA
RNAcentral lists this transfer RNA (77 nucleotides) under Stagnimonas sp. Its description in RNAcentral is "tRNA-Arg". It matches the Rfam family "tRNA". Rfam says of the family: Transfer RNA (tRNA) molecules are approximately 80 nucleotides in length. Their secondary structure includes four short double-helical elements and three loops (D, anti-codon, and T loops). Lineage: Bacteria; Pseudomonadati; Pseudomonadota; Gammaproteobacteria; Nevskiales; Nevskiaceae. The record is from RNAcentral.